Molecule: ribosomal RNA, 433 nt
Filed under: uncultured bacterium
Lineage: Bacteria
Description: partial 16S ribosomal RNA
Rfam family: Bacterial small subunit ribosomal RNA
Source: RNAcentral
AACGAACGCUGGCGGCAUGCCUAACACAUGCGAGUCGAACGAGACCUUCGGGUCUAGUGGCGCACGGGUGCGUAACGCGUGGGAACCUGCCCUUAGGUUCGGAAUAACUCCCCGAAAGGGGUGCUAAUACCGGAUAAUGUCUUCGGACCAAAGAUUUAUCGCCUUUGGAUGGGCCCGCGUUGGAUUAGCUAGUUGGUAGGGUAAAAGCCUACCAAGGCGACGAUCCAUAGCUGGUCUGAGAGGAUGAUCAGCCACACUGGGACUGAGACACGGCCCAGACUCCUACGGGAGGCAGCAGUGGGGAAUAUUGGACAAUGGGCGAAAGCCUGAUCCAGCAAUGCCGCGUGAGUGAUGAAGGCCUUAGGGUUGUAAAGCUCUUUUACCCGGGAUGAUAAUGACAGUACCGGGAGAAUAAGCUCCGGCUAACUCCGCG